Molecule: ribosomal RNA, 2710 nt
Filed under: Salmonella enterica subsp. enterica serovar Enteritidis
Lineage: Bacteria; Pseudomonadati; Pseudomonadota; Gammaproteobacteria; Enterobacterales; Enterobacteriaceae
Description: partial 23S ribosomal RNA
Rfam family: Bacterial large subunit ribosomal RNA
Source: RNAcentral
GCGAUAAGCGCCGGUAAGGUGAUAUGAACCGUUAUAACCGGCGAUACCCGAAUGGGGAAACCCAGUGUGACUCGUCACACUAUCAUUAACUGAAUCCAUAGGUUAAUGAGGCGAACCGGGGGAACUGAAACAUCUAAGUACCCCGAGGAAAAGAAAUCAACCGAGAUUCCCCCAGUAGCGGCGAGCGAACGGGGAGGAGCCCAGAGCCUGAAUCAGCAUGUGUGUUAGUGGAAGCGUCUGGAAAGGCGCGCGAUACAGGGUGACAGCCCCGUACACAAAAGCGCAUGUGCUGUGAGCUCGAUGAGUAGGGCGGGACACGUGGUAUCCUGUCUGAAUAUGGGGGGACCAUCCUCCAAGGCUAAAUACUCCUGACUGACCGAUAGUGAACCAGUACCGUGAGGGAAAGGCGAAAAGAACCCCGGCGAGGGGAGUGAAAAAGAACCUGAAACCGUGUACGUACAAGCAGUGGGAGCACCCUUUGGGUGUGACUGCGUACCUUUUGUAUAAUGGGUCAGCGACUUAUAUUCUGUAGCAAGGUUAACCGAAUAGGGGAGCCGGAGGGAAACCGAGUCUUAAUUGGGCGUUAAGUUGCAGGGUAUAGACCCGAAACCCGGUGAUCUAGCCAUGGGCAGGUUGAAGGUUGGGUAACACUAACUGGAGGACCGAACCGACUAAUGUUGAAAAAUUAGCGGAUGACCUGUGGCUGGGGGUGAAAGGCCAAUCAAACCGGGAGAUAGCUGGUUCUCCCCGAAAGCUAUUUAGGUAGCGCCUCGUGAAUUCAUCUCCGGGGGUAGAGCACUGUUUCGGCUAGGGGGCCAUCCCGGCUUACCAACCCGAUGCAAACUGCGAAUACCGGAGAAUGUUAUCACGGGAGACACACGGCGGGUGCUAACGUCCGUCGUGAAGAGGGAAACAACCCAGACCGCCAGCUAAGGUCCCAAAGUCAUGGUUAAGUGGGAAACGAUGUGGGAAGGCCCAGACAGCCAGGAUGUUGGCUUAGAAGCAGCCAUCAUUUAAAGAAAGCGUAAUAGCUCACUGGUCGAGUCGGCCUGCGCGGAAGAUGUAACGGGGCUAAACCAUGCACCGAAGCUGCGGCAGCGACACUGUGUGUUGUUGGGUAGGGGAGCGUUCUGUAAGCCUGCGAAGGUGGCCUGUGAGGGUUGCUGGAGGUAUCAGAAGUGCGAAUGCUGACAUAAGUAACGAUAAAGCGGGUGAAAAGCCCGCUCGCCGGAAGACCAAGGGUUCCUGUCCAACGUUAAUCGGGGCAGGGUGAGUCGACCCCUAAGGCGAGGCCGAAAGGCGUAGUCGAUGGGAAACGGGUUAAUAUUCCCGUACUUGGUGUUACUGCGAAGGGGGGACGGAGAAGGCUAUGUUGGCCGGGCGACGGUUGUCCCGGUUUAAGCGUGUAGGUGUGUGUUCCAGGUAAAUCCGGUUCACUUUAACACUGAGGCGUGACGACGAGGCACUACGGUGCUGAAGCAACAAAUGCCCUGCUUCCAGGAAAAGCCUCUAAGCAUCAGGUAACAUCAAAUCGUACCCCAAACCGACACAGGUGGUCAGGUAGAGAAUACCAAGGCGCUUGAGAGAACUCGGGUGAAGGAACUAGGCAAAAUGGUGCCGUAACUUCGGGAGAAGGCACGCUGACACGUAGGUGAAGUGAUUUACUCAUGGAGCUGAAGUCAGUCGAAGAUACCAGCUGGCUGCAACUGUUUAUUAAAAACACAGCACUGUGCAAACACGAAAGUGGACGUAUACGGUGUGACGCCUGCCCGGUGCCGGAAGGUUAAUUGAUGGGGUCAGCGCAAGCGAAGCUCCUGAUCGAAGCCCCGGUAAACGGCGGCCGUAACUAUAACGGUCCUAAGGUAGCGAAAUUCCUUGUCGGGUAAGUUCCGACCUGCACGAAUGGCGUAAUGAUGGCCAGGCUGUCUCCACCCGAGACUCAGUGAAAUUGAACUCGCUGUGAAGAUGCAGUGUACCCGCGGCAAGACGGAAAGACCCCGUGAACCUUUACUAUAGCUUGACACUGAACAUUGAGCCUUGAUGUGUAGGAUAGGUGGGAGGCUUUGAAGUGUGGACGCCAGUCUGCAUGGAGCCGACCUUGAAAUACCACCCUUUAAUGUUUGAUGUUCUAACGUGGACCCGUUACCCGGGUUGCGGACAGUGUCUGGUGGGUAGUUUGACUGGGGCGGUCUCCUCCUAAAGAGUAACGGAGGAGCACGAAGGUUGGCUAAUCCUGGUCGGACAUCAGGAGGUUAGUGCAAUGGCAUAAGCCAGCUUGACUGCGAGCGUGACGGCGCGAGCAGGUGCGAAAGCAGGUCAUAGUGAUCCGGUGGUUCUGAAUGGAAGGGCCAUCGCUCAACGGAUAAAAGGUACUCCGGGGAUAACAGGCUGAUACCGCCCAAGAGUUCAUAUCGACGGCGGUGUUUGGCACCUCGAUGUCGGCUCAUCACAUCCUGGGGCUGAAGUAGGUCCCAAGGGUAUGGCUGUUCGCCAUUUAAAGUGGUACGCGAGCUGGGUUUAGAACGUCGUGAGACAGUUCGGUCCCUAUCUGCCGUGGGCGCUGGAGAACUGAGGGGGGCUGCUCCUAGUACGAGAGGACCGGAGUGGACGCAUCACUGGUGUUCGGGUUGUCAUGCCAAUGGCACUGCCCGGUAGCUAAAUGCGGAAGAGAUAAGUGCUGAAAGCAUCUAAGCACGAAACUUGCCCCGAG